Molecule: ribosomal RNA, 227 nt
Filed under: uncultured bacterium
Lineage: Bacteria
Description: partial 16S ribosomal RNA
Rfam family: Bacterial small subunit ribosomal RNA
Source: RNAcentral
CUGAACCAGCCAAGUAGCGUGAAGGAUGACUGCCCUAUGGGUUGUAAACUUCUUUUAUAAAGGAAUAAAGUCGGGUAUGCAUACCCGUUUGCAUGUACUUUAUGAAUAAGGAUCGGCUAACUCCGUGCCAGCAGCCGCGGUAAUACGGAGGAUCCGAGCGUUAACCGGAUUUAUUGGGUUUAAAGGGAGCGUAGAUGGAUGUUUAAGUCAGUUGUGAAAGUUUGCGG